This 378-nucleotide ribosomal RNA is filed under the name uncultured bacterium. Its description in RNAcentral is "bacterial SSU rRNA". It matches the Rfam family "Bacterial small subunit ribosomal RNA", at positions 521 to 896 of the family's 1533-position model. The record is from RNAcentral.
UAAUACGUAGGGUGCAAGCGUUGUCCGGAUUUAUUGGGCGUAAAGAGCUCGUAGGCGGCGUGUCGCGUCGAAAGUGAAAACCAUAGGCUUAACCUGUGGCUUGCUUUCGGUACGGGCAUGCUCGAGUGUGGUAGGGGAGUCUGGAAUUCCUGGUGUAGCGGUGAAAUGCGCAGAUAUCAGGAGGAACACCGGUGGCGAAGGCGGGACUCUGGGCCAUUACUGACGCUGAGGAGCGAAAGCGUGGGGAGCGAACAGGAUUAGAUACCCUGGUAGUCCACGCUGUAAACGUUGGGCGCUAGGUGUGGGGACUGGUUCACGGUUCCUGUGCCGUAGCUAACGCAUUAAGCGCCCCGCCUGGGGAGUACGGCCGCAAGGCUA